AGUGAACGCUGGCGGUAGGCCUAACACAUGCAAGUCGAACGGCAGCACAGUAAGAGCUUGCUCUUACGGGUGGCGAGUGGCGGACGGGUGAGGAAUACAUCGGAAUCUACUUUUUCGUGGGGGAUAACGUAGGGAAACUUACGCUAAUACCGCAUACGACCUACGGGUGAAAGCAGGGGAUCUUCGGACCUUGCGCGAUUGAAUGAGCCGAUGUCGGACUAGCUAGUUGGCGGGGUAAAGGCCCACCAAGGCGACGAUCCGUAGCUGGUCUGAGAGGAUGAUCAGCCACACUGGAACUGAGACACGGUCCAGACUCCUACGGGAGGCAGCAGUGGGGAAUAUUGGACAAUGGGCGCAAGCCUGAUCCAGCCAUACCGCGUGGGUGAAGAAGGCCUUCGGGUUGUAAAGCCCUUUUGCUGGGAAAGAAAAGCAGCAGGUUAAUACCCCGCUGUUCUGACGGUACCCAAAGAAUAAGCACCGGCUAACUUCGUG
RNAcentral lists this ribosomal RNA (492 nucleotides) under uncultured bacterium. RNAcentral's name for it is "partial 16S ribosomal RNA". It matches the Rfam family "Bacterial small subunit ribosomal RNA", at positions 29 to 507 of the family's 1533-position model. The record is from RNAcentral.